RNAcentral lists this transfer RNA (73 nucleotides) under Phyllodactylus bugastrolepis (Catalina Island leaf-toed gecko). RNAcentral describes it as "tRNA-Asn". RNAcentral also lists the same sequence under 1 other name. The record is from RNAcentral. Lineage: Eukaryota; Metazoa; Chordata; Lepidosauria; Squamata; Phyllodactylidae.
UAAGUUAAAGCCCGCUGGAUUGGGCACCUAGUUGUUAAUUAGGGUUUCGUGGGAUCAAGGCCCGCUGGCUUAG